This is a long non-coding RNA of Astyanax mexicanus (Mexican tetra), 1626 nucleotides long. RefSeq lists it as uncharacterized. The transcript has 5 exons. The record is from RefSeq and is a predicted model, not a curated record. NCBI's taxonomy places the organism in Eukaryota, Metazoa, Chordata, Actinopteri, Characiformes, Acestrorhamphidae.
UGUGCGUGCAUGUGUGUGUGUGCGUGUGUGUGUGAGUCUGGCUGGGCCGCAGGCUGUAACCGCUGGCUGCGAGGGGAGGCGGGCCGACAGCAGGACACGCACUCUGAACCAGCGGAAUAGAGACGUGUAUCUAGAGCAGGCUAAUGAAAUUAGCCGCCUGAGAGAGCAAACAAAACACCUAUCAAUAUGCAGCAGCGCCGACCGAGGGAGCUCAGCCUGAGCCACACAGGUGAAGUGACAAAGCUCUGGAAAACUUAAAGACUUUUGAACAUUUCUAUGCUUUGCUGAGAUUUACAGGUUGGACAGCUGGAGGGACGGCGUGUGUGGAAAUGCUUGGACGGGUGAUGAACGCAGACGCAGGUAUAAAUACAGUAGGCCAGAGGCUAGCAGGCUGUGAUAUUUCCCAUCAUCCCCCACUGCAUCGAUCCGCUACCACAACUUCCUCUUCCUGCCCUCCACACGCACACACACACACACACACACACACACACACACACACACACACACACACACACACACACACACACACACACACACACACACACACACACACUAUGCCCCUAUAGAAUAACCUGGGCUUCAGAUCGAUGCAUCAAACUGAGGGCUGAUCCCUGAACAGUGCAGUGUGGAGCAGCAAACAAACAAACAAACAAACAAAGAGACAAACAGUGACCUCUGUAACCUGUUUAUCAGCUGAUAAGCAGCAGUGCGCUCAGGGCUCUCGCUCGCCCACCGCAGAUUAAAGCACAAAAACAAGAGGAGGAAACGCAGAUCCCCAGAAGCCCCGCCCCAAAGUGACACUUCAGCACAACUCAUAACUUUUUUUUUCCAGACAAUCCGCCCAAAAAUUCCCUUCUUUUGUCUGGCAUUAGAGCUGCGAGGCUAACGUAGCUAACAUCCAAUAGAAGCUCACACCCCUCACAUUAAUAUGCAUACAGUACAAUUUGAAAUUCUCACAGUAAAGUAGUUACAGUAGAUUAGCUGCAGUAGGCUAAUAACAUUGGUCUAAUGAUAUUAGUCUAGCUAAUAUUAGCAGGCUAGCAUGCUAACUGCACUUUACCCCAACUUAGACUGAUCUCAGUGGAGUUUCACACCCACCACCACCACCAUAAUUCACUCACAGAGAACUAAAGAUCGCUAUUGUUUAAACAGCAAGUGAAGCUCCAGGUCCUUCAGCGCCCCCUGUCCAGGUCCUGCACUGCAGAUGAUCAAAUACUCCAAAUUCGAACUGGAUCAGUACUCACUGAUCUGUUUUCUGAUCAUAUCUUUAACCCAUCAGUAUUUUUUUUACUCUUUAGGUUACCCAACCCAUCUGAGCUGCGUUUUGAUUGGCUGCUGGUCAUUGGUGCACAUUUACUGAGGACAGAGGACAGUCAGGACGAUACUGUGUCAGCACUUGUGUGUUCUACUUUAAUAGUGUAAUAAUAAUAAUAAUAAUAAUAAUAAUAAUAAUAAUAAUAAUAAUACGCUGGGAUGCUAUAUUUACGUAGAUUGCCCCCUUAUCUAAGAUAUACAGUACCUGGUCAGGUGACCCUAAACUGACCAAAAUUAAACAAGUCUAAAGAUCCAAAACAUCAGACCUGUUUAGAUACAGUAGCAGAUACACAAGCCAUUGUAAAGUGUGUG